This is a non-coding RNA of Pelobates cultripes (western spadefoot toad), 362 nucleotides long. The record is from the annotation of a GenBank genome assembly. NCBI's taxonomy places the organism in Eukaryota, Metazoa, Chordata, Amphibia, Anura, Pelobatidae.
CUGAGAUUGCCUGCAGAGCAGUCCGAUCUCAUUACCAAGGAGAUCUCGGAACUUCGGCUCAAACGGGCAAUACAGGAAGUCCCGUACGACCACCCGGGGUUCCUAAGCAACCUGUUCCUUGUUGCCAAGAAGGGUGGAGGUGUUCGACCGGUAAUAAAUCUCAAACACCUCAACGGAUUCCUCCACUACCAUCACUUCAAGAUGGAAGGCAUUCAUUGCCUCAGGGACCUGCUUCGGCAAGGAGAUUGGAUGGUCAAACUGGACCUCAAAGAUGCCUAUUUGACUAUUCCAAUGGCAGAGGAACACUGGGACUUAUUGCACUUUACGUGGCAAGGACGUCGAUGGAGGUUUACUUGUCUGCC